GAUGAACGCUGUCUCCAGGCUUAACACAUGCAAGUCGAGGGGAAACGACGGGGAAGCUUGCUUCCCCGGGCGUCGACCGGCGCACGGGUGAGUAACGCGUAUCCAACCUGCCUCUGACUGAGGGAUAACCCGUCGAAAGUCGGCCUAAUACCUCAUGGCAUCGUCUGCGGGCAUCCAACGACGAUUAAAGAUUUCAUCGGUCAGGGAUGGGGAUGCGUCUGAUUAGCUUGUUGGCGGGGUAACGGCCCACCAAGGCUACGAUCAGUAGGGGUUCUGAGAGGAAGGUCCCCCACAUUGGAACUGAGACACGGUCCAAACUCCUACGGGAGGCAGCAGUGAGGAAUAUUGGUCAAUGGGCGGGAGCCUGAACCAGCCAAGUAGCGUGCAGGAUGACGGCCCUAUGGGUGGUAAACUGCUUUUAUGCGGGGAUAAAGUGAGGGACGUGUCCUUCAUUGCAGGUACCGCAUGAAUAAGGACCGGCUAAUUCCGUG
RNAcentral lists this ribosomal RNA (491 nucleotides) under uncultured bacterium. RNAcentral describes it as "partial 16S ribosomal RNA". It matches the Rfam family "Bacterial small subunit ribosomal RNA", at positions 28 to 507 of the family's 1533-position model. The record is from RNAcentral.